GGUACAUUUCGCCCAAACUGGUAACACUAGUUACAAUAUCAAAUGUCAAAAGUGCCAGAAGCGCUGGCAAAAUUGAAACAAAGCUUCAUUUGGUAUCUUUUCAUUUGUUCUAGUAUAGUUCUACUCAUUUUUGACAGUUCUCACAGCAAAGCAAAUGCAAAUAUAUAUUUGUUUGUUGUUUUUACUUUGAAAUACAUUUACACUGAUUAAAUAAAACUUCCAGUUGAGAAUACAAACUUAAGGGGUAGUCGCUGAUCAAACCAUGUUAAUGGCAAAUGACGGUAACUUCUGUCCAGCAGUGUAUAUAUAUUGUCAGUGAAAUUUGGAACAUAGGAUCCCAUUAAGGAGGGGCACAUUUGGAUGUAAUUUUUUUGGAAAAGUGGGCGUGACCCCACCCCCAAAUAGGUUUUUUGUAUAUAACUCGCAAACCAAUAAAGCUAUAUAAACCAAACUUUCUGCAGUCGUUUAUUUUAGCCAUUUCCUUAUACAGUCCAAAAAUGAAAGAAAUCGGAUAAUAACCACGCCCACCUCCCAUACAAAGGUUGGGUUGAAAAUUACUAAAAGUGCGUUAACUCACUAACGAAAAACGUCAGAAACACCAAAUUUGAGAUUUGAGAUUGAGAUUUUUUUACAAAAUGGAAAAUGGGCGUGGCGUCCCCACUUAUGAGUCAAAACCCAUAUCUCAAGAACUAUUCGAUCGAUUUCAAUGAAAUUCGGUAUAUAACACUUUCUUGACACUCUGAUGACACGGGUGGAAUAUGGGCGAAAUCGGUUCACAACUACGUCUACUUCCCAUAUAACUCAAUUUUGAAUUCUUUUGAUUCGUUCACUUUAUAAUACAUAU
Long non-coding RNA from Zeugodacus cucurbitae (melon fly), 844 nucleotides. RefSeq lists it as uncharacterized. The record is from RefSeq and is a predicted model, not a curated record. NCBI's taxonomy places the organism in Eukaryota, Metazoa, Arthropoda, Insecta, Diptera, Tephritidae. The transcript has 3 exons.